GCACAAGCGGUGGAGCAUGUGGUUAAUUCGAUGCGACGCGAAGAACCUUACCUGGGCUUGACAUCCCGAGGAUCCCCUGGAAACAGGGAGUGCCCUUCGGGGAGCUCGGAGACAGGUGCUGCAUGGCUGUCGUCAGCUCGUGUCGUGAGAUGUUGGGUUAAGUCCCGCAACGAGCGCAACCCUUGUCUUUAAUUGCCAUCAUUGAGUUGGGCACUUUAAAGAGACUGCCGGUGUUAAACCGGAGGAAGGCGGGAUGACGUCAAGUCAGCAUGGCCUUUAUGUCCAGGGCUACACACGUGCUACAAUGGGCGGUACAGAGGGAAGCAAAGCCGCGAGGUGGAGCUAAUCCUUAAAGCCGUCCUCAGUUCGGAUCGCAGGCUGCAACUCGCCUGCGUGAAGUCGGAAUCGCUAGUAAUCGCGGAUCAGCUACGCCGCGGUGAAUACGUUCUCGGGCCUU
RNAcentral lists this ribosomal RNA (457 nucleotides) under uncultured Syntrophaceae bacterium. Its description in RNAcentral is "bacterial SSU rRNA". It matches the Rfam family "Bacterial small subunit ribosomal RNA", at positions 923 to 1382 of the family's 1533-position model. The record is from RNAcentral. Lineage: Bacteria; Pseudomonadati; Thermodesulfobacteriota; Syntrophia; Syntrophales; Syntrophaceae.